AGUGAACGCUGGCGGUAGGCCUAACACAUGCAAGUCGAACGGCAGCACAGUAAGAGCUUGCUCUUACGGGUGGCGAGUGGCGGACGGGUGAGGAAUACAUCGGAAUCUACUUUUUCGUGGGGGAUAACGUAGGGAAACUUACGCUAAUACCGCAUACGACCUACGGGUGAAAGCAGGGGAUCUUCGGACCUUGCGCGAUUGAAUGAGCCGAUGUCGGAUUAGCUAGUUGGCGGGGUAAAGGCCCACCAAGGCGACGAUCCGUAGCUGGUCUGAGAGGAUGAUCAGCCACAUUGGAACUGAGAAAGGGUCCAGACUCCUAGGGGAGGAAGCAGUGGGGAAUAUUGGACAAUGGGCGCAAGCCGGAUCCAGCCAUACCGCGUGGGUGAAGAAGGCCUUCGGGUUGUAAAGCCAUUUUGUUGGGAAAGAAAAGCAGCAGGUUAAUACCCCGCCGUUCUGACGGUACCCAAAGAAUAAGCACCGGCUAACUUCGUG
This 492-nucleotide ribosomal RNA is filed under the name uncultured bacterium. RNAcentral's name for it is "partial 16S ribosomal RNA". It matches the Rfam family "Bacterial small subunit ribosomal RNA", at positions 29 to 507 of the family's 1533-position model. The record is from RNAcentral.